GAUGAACGCUGGCGGCGUGCCUAAUACAUGCAAGUCGAGCGAACGGACGAGAAGCUUGCUUCUCUGAUGUUAGCGGCGGACGGGUGAGUAACACGUGGAUAACCUACCUAUAAGACUGGGAUAACUUCGGGAAACCGUAGCUAAUACCGGAUAAUAUUUUGAACCGCAUGGUUCAAAAGUGAAAGACGGUCUUGCUGUCACUUAUAGAUGGAUCCGCGCUGCAUUAGCUAGUUGGUAAGGUAACGGCUUACCAAGGCAACGAUGCAUAGCCGACCUGAGAGGGUGAUCCGCCACACUUGAACUGAGACACGGUCCCGACUCCUACGGGAGGCAGCAGUAGGGAAUCUUCCGCAAUGGGCGAAAGCCUGACGGAGCAACGCCGCGUGAGUGAUGAAGGUCUUCGGAUCGUAAAACUCUGUUAUUAGGGAAGAACAUAUGUGUAAGUAACUGUGCACAUCUUGACGGUACCUAAUCAGAAAGCCACGGCUAACUACGUG
Molecule: ribosomal RNA, 497 nt
Filed under: uncultured bacterium
Lineage: Bacteria
Description: partial 16S ribosomal RNA
Rfam family: Bacterial small subunit ribosomal RNA
Source: RNAcentral